This 32-nucleotide non-coding RNA is filed under the name Mus musculus (house mouse). The record is from RNAcentral. Lineage: Eukaryota; Metazoa; Chordata; Mammalia; Rodentia; Muridae.
UAGAAUGUUUUAAAUAAAAUAGAGGCACACUA